Molecule: small nuclear RNA, 108 nt
Filed under: Corchorus capsularis
Lineage: Eukaryota; Viridiplantae; Streptophyta; Magnoliopsida; Malvales; Malvaceae
Source: RNAcentral
CGAGUGAUCAUAUAAGAUUCCAUAAAAUUGAAACAUACAAAAAUGAUUAGCAUAGCCCACACGCAAGGCUGUCGCGAAAAAAUCAAGAAGCAGUAGUCCAAAAAGUUU